This 510-nucleotide ribosomal RNA is filed under the name uncultured bacterium. RNAcentral's name for it is "partial 16S ribosomal RNA". It matches the Rfam family "Bacterial small subunit ribosomal RNA", at positions 28 to 523 of the family's 1533-position model. The record is from RNAcentral.
GACGAACGCUGGCGGCGUGCCUAAUACAUGCAAGUCGAGCGAAUGACGAGAAGCUUGCUUCUCUGAUUUAGCGGCGGACGGGUGAGUAACACGUGGGCAACCUGCCCUGCAGAUCGGGAUAACGCAGGGAAACCUGGGCUAAUACCGGAUAAUCCUUCGAAUGACAUGUUUUGAGUUCGAAAGGCGCUUCGGCGUUACUGUAGGAUGGGCCUGCGGUGCAUUAGCUAGUUGGUGGGGUAACGGCCUACCAAGGCAACGAUGCAUAGCCGACCUGAGAGGGUGAUCGGCCACAUUGGGACUGAGACACGGCCCAAACUCCUACGGGAGGCAGCAGUAGGGAAUCUUCCACAAUGGACGAAAGUCUGAUGGAGCAACGCCGCGUGAGUGAUGAAGGUUUUCGGAUCGUAAAACUCUGUUGUAAGGGAAGAACAAGUACGUUAGGAAAUGAACGUACCUUGACGGUACCUUAUUAGAGAGCCACGGCUAACUACGUGCCAGCCGCCGCGGUAA